RNAcentral lists this ribosomal RNA (898 nucleotides) under Apilactobacillus sp. RNAcentral describes it as "bacterial SSU rRNA". It matches the Rfam family "Bacterial small subunit ribosomal RNA", at positions 49 to 938 of the family's 1533-position model. Lineage: Bacteria; Bacillati; Bacillota; Bacilli; Lactobacillales; Lactobacillaceae. The record is from RNAcentral.
GAUUUUAUGCUUGCAUAAAUGAUUUUUGGAUUCGGAGCGAGUGGCGAACUGGUGAGUAACACGUGGGUAACCUGCCCCGAAGCGGGGGAUAACAUUUGGAAACAAGUGCUAAUACCGCAUAAUUAGUUGGAACCGCAUGGUUCCAACUUGAAAGAUGGCUCUGCUAUCACUUUGGGAUGGACCCGCGCCGUAUUAGUUAGUUGGUGAGAUAAAAGCCCACCAAGACGAUGAUACGUAGCCGACCUGAGAGGGUAAUCGGCCACAUUGGGACUGAGACACGGCCCAGACUCCUACGGGAGGCAGCAGUAGGGAAUCUUCCACAAUGGACGAAAGUCUGAUGGAGCAACGCCGCGUGAGUGAUGAAGGUUUUCGGAUCGUAAAACUCUGUUGUUAAAGAAGAACAAGUGUUAGAGUAACUGUUAACACUUUGACGGUAUUUAACCAGAAAGCCACGGCUAACUACGUGCCAGCAGCCGCGGUAAUACGUAGGUGGCAAGCGUUGUCCGGAUUUAUUGGGCGUAAAGCGAGCGCAGGCGGUUUUGUAAGUCUGCUGUGAAAGCCCUCAGCUCAACUGAGGAAGUGCAGUGGAAACUACAAAACUUGAGUACAGAAGAGGAAAGUGGAACUCCAUGUGUAGCGGUGAAAUGCGUAGAUAUAUGGAAGAACACCAGUGGCGAAGGCGGCUUUCUGGUCUGUUACUGACGCUGAGGCUCGAAAGCAUGGGUAGCGAACAGGAUUAGAUACCCUGGUAGUCCAUGCCGUAAACGAUGAAUACUAGGUGUUGGAGGGUUUCCGCCCUUCAGUGCCGCAGCUAACGCAUUAAGUAUUCCGCCUGGGGAGUACGACCGCAAGGUUGAAACUCAAAGGAAUUGACGGGGGCCCGCACAAGUGGUGGAGC